CGGUCAUUCAACAGUGUUUUUAUCUCAUAUAAAUCAGCAAAUAAUACUUUUAGGUAUGACUUUUUAGCCAAACAAAUAGGCUGUUAACAUUUCGGAGUGUGUGUGUGAGGGGUGAGGGGAGGGGGUGAGGGGAGGGAAACUACUUAGCAACUUGGCAGACCAAAUGUACUAAUCAUAGGCGGACAACCUGUGGAAGGGACGACUUGUUAGCCACACCUCACACAGAUCCCACUUUUUUUUUAUUUUAUUAACCCAAUCCUUUUUUUUAACCUUUUUGGCCAUGCCACUACCAAGAAGAAAUCACGCUACCACAUCAAAUGUGUUGGCACAUCAAAAUAUACCACAUUGAGCGGCGAGCACCUAGAAAAUCUUGACACGCUUUACCGAUCUCAAAUGGAAAAUCAGAAACUAAAAAAGUUAUAUCAUUGAGAACUAUAAUUUUUUCAUCUAAAAAUAGUUUUAUUUGACAACAUAUAGGAAAGAUAUUGUGUUACACCCUUGGUGUUAACAUCUACUGCUUGGCAAGUGGCAACCACAAGUCAACACCAGGAUGGUGCAUGUGAAACAGGGUCUUCAGUGAAGAGAAUGAAGCUUUGUUGGCAAGAUGACGACAGUACAGAAAUGUCCUUUCCACGCCAGCCCGUAUAGGUGCUCGAUGCCAGCAGGUUCUGCAUCCCAUCCACUAAAUAUAGAUAAAAAAAAUAACUAAUUACAUAGUUUACUUGUAAUUUACGUGACGAAUUUUUUAACCCUAGUUAAUUAGUCCAUGAUUAGAUAAUAUU
This 782-nucleotide long non-coding RNA is filed under the name Sorghum bicolor (sorghum). Its description in RNAcentral is "long non-coding RNA (SBIC_LNC013628)". The record is from RNAcentral. Lineage: Eukaryota; Viridiplantae; Streptophyta; Magnoliopsida; Poales; Poaceae.